Molecule: ribosomal RNA, 407 nt
Filed under: uncultured bacterium
Lineage: Bacteria
Description: partial 16S ribosomal RNA
Rfam family: Bacterial small subunit ribosomal RNA
Source: RNAcentral
AUUGAACGCUAGCGGCAUGCCUUACACAUGCAAGUCGAACGGAGUGGCGAACGGGUGAGUAAUGUACCGGACCGUGCCCCGUCGCGGGGGAUAACUACGCGAACGCGUAGCUAAUUCCGCUUCCUAUUGGAGCGGCCGAUAUCGGAUUCGCUAGUUGGUGGGGUAACGGCUCACCAGGGCGACGAUCCGUAGCUGGUUUGAGAGGACGACCAGCCCAACUGGGACUGAGACACGGCCCAGACUCCUACGGGAGGCAGCAGUGGGGAAUUUUGGACAAUGGGGGAAACCCUGAUCCAGCCAUCCCGCGUGUGCGAUGAAGGCCUUCGGGUGGUAAAGCACUUUUGGCAGGAAAGCGGUACCUGCAGAAUAAGCACCGGCUAACUACGUGCCAGCCGCCGCGGUAAUAC